This 447-nucleotide ribosomal RNA is filed under the name uncultured bacterium. RNAcentral describes it as "SSU rRNA". It matches the Rfam family "Bacterial small subunit ribosomal RNA", at positions 26 to 518 of the family's 1533-position model. The record is from RNAcentral.
AGAGCGAACGCUGGCGGCAGGCUUAACACAUGCAAGUCGAGCGGGCGUAGCAAUACGUCAGCGGUAGACGGGUGAGUAACGCGUGGGAACAUACCUUUUGGUUCGGAACAACCCAGGGAAACUUGGGCUAAUACCGGAUAAGCCCUUACGGGGAAAGAUUUAUCGCCGAAAGAUUGGCCCGCGUCUGAUUAGCUAGUUGGUGAGGUAACGGCUCACCAAGGCGACGAUCAGUAGCUGGUCUGAGAGGAUGAUCAGCCACAUUGGGACUGAGACACGGCCCAAACUCCUACGGGAGGCAGCAGUGGGGAAUAUUGGACAAUGGGCGCAAGCCUGAUCCAGCCAUGCCGCGUGAGUGAUGAAGGCCCUAGGGUUGUAAAGCUCUUUUGUGCGGGAAGAUAAUGACGGUACCGCAAGAAUAAGCCCGGCUAACUUCGCGCCAGCAGCCGC